CCUACGGGAGGCAGCAGUGGGGAAUAUUGGGCAAUGGAGGAAACUCUGACCCAGCAACGCCGCGUGAAUGAUGAAGGUCUUCGGAAUGUAAAGUUCUAUUCUAAGGGAAGAAGAAAGUGACGGUACCUUAGGAAUAAGCCUCGGCUAACUACGUGCCAGCAGCAGCGUUAAUACGUAGGAGGCGAGCGUUAUCCGGAAUGACUGGGCGUAAAGGGUGCGUAGGUGGUUUGGCAAGUUAGUAGCGAAACUCCGAGGCUCAACCUUGGAACUACUACUAAAACUGUUGGGCUUGAGUGCAGGAGAGGCAAGCGGAAUUCCUAGUGUAGCGGUGGAAUGCGUAGAUAUUAGGAGGAAGACCAGUGGCGAAGGCGGGUUGCUGGACUGUAACUGACACUGAGGCACGAAAGCGUGGGGAGCAAACAGGAUUAGAUACCCUUGUAGUC
RNAcentral lists this ribosomal RNA (443 nucleotides) under uncultured bacterium. RNAcentral describes it as "partial 16S ribosomal RNA". It matches the Rfam family "Bacterial small subunit ribosomal RNA", at positions 338 to 795 of the family's 1533-position model. The record is from RNAcentral.